Choloepus didactylus (southern two-toed sloth) is the source of this 2216-nucleotide long non-coding RNA. RefSeq lists it as uncharacterized. The record is from RefSeq and is a predicted model, not a curated record. The transcript is spliced from 3 exons. NCBI's taxonomy places the organism in Eukaryota, Metazoa, Chordata, Mammalia, Pilosa, Megalonychidae.
UUUCACAAAGUUACAGAAUUUUCGAGUUGCUUGGAACAUUUCACGUAAAUGUGGCCAGAUGUUACUCACAGGUAUUCUGUGAGCACAUCCUGUGGUUCACUCUGAAAAAUGGAUUCUGUGGCUGUAUAAAUUAGGUGAAGCACAGGAAAUGUUGAACGACCACGCGUCAAGAGGAGCACAGAUGCUCUUCGGGAAACUUGGGACGAGCCGAGAAAUGCUGAAAAUCCAGCCUCUUUAUCUGUGGUUGAGGAAACUGACCCAGACAAAUUGUGACUUACCUAAGGUCAGAAUACUCAGUAUUGAGAAAGGAAGAUAAGGAGAGGAAAUGCCUUCCUGCUUAUUUUAACUCAGCUGGCCUCUCAAAUGGCUCUGGCCAUAUGUGACAAUUCUUCACUCUUGUGUCUACUGUUGAGCUUUUCCUGCAGAAGUUCAUUGCCUUUGACUCCAUCAAACAGCUCUUCUUGAGCCUUAUUCUGAUGAAGGCUAGUAACAGGGAGAAUACACUUGAGCACUUAUCACCGGCUGCCACUCUGGUCCUGGAAAGACUAGACUCCAAGAUGGAAACAAGAGACUGGAAUCCGACCAUGAGUAUCUGCUCCAGUCAGGUUUCUCUCGAGGGUGGGAUCUGGGCCUUAUUUGAACACCUGAGACCCUGCUCUUGAUCUCUGUGUUUUAGUGGUUUAGGCAAUUAUUUUCAUUGUCAGAUAUGGGUAAGAUAGCAGAACCCAGAAAAAUCCACAACAGUGGUUAUAUGAGAUCUUGAUCUCUAACUGUUAUUUAAAAUUCAGAAACUAUAGAACAUUCCUAACAAGUCUUCCAAGUAUGCCCCUUAGAGUGACACUUCUUUAAAAUGAUCCACGUGUCCUAGAAUUAUCUAGUUAACUCAUACAUGUAGGUGACAUUUCUACAGAGACAAAGACAGGCCAAAUGUUGAGUUUUGGAUGAAACACACUGAUGAGCAAAGCCAGAAGGAGAAUAUUUCAUAUUGAUGCAUUUAACCUAUAACUAUAAAAUUACAUUUUACAUAUAUUUAUUAGGCACUGGGGUUGGAUUCAGUGACUGUGCUGCGGGCUAUAUAUCACCACACACUCUCCUUUCCAUUUUCCUUCACCUUUUACUAGGGCUUUAUUUGAGUGAGCGACCCUCAAAGAUGAAAAGAUUCCAGAUUCAAAAGUGCUAGUUUGUGUGAAAUAUGGAUUACAGAGAGACCAGCUCUCCCUGGGCCAUAUGUCAGGCACAAUUCUCAUAGUUUUAUGGCUCAACAUUGAGGAUAUAUUUGAAGUAGUUUAUUCAAAGUGUUUCCUAACAGCUCUCUCUAACACCUGCCCAGGUGGUUAACAAAGCUGUACAAACAGAUCAAAGCUGUGGUUAUCGCCCCUGUUCUUUAUACAAUAAAUGUGUCAGGUAUCUGUCUGGUAUUUGAUAUAAAAAGGAAAUCUGCAACAGUCACAUCCAGCGAUAUAUACUACCAACAUUUGGGGCUGCUAACACUUUUGCCUGUUACGUCAAGGCAUCUGAAAGUUUAAAGCUUGGCAAAGUAAUGUUUUUCUUUUUCUUCUAUAAUCCCAUGGUAAACAUUAAGCAGACAGCAUUUCUGCUUUGAGCAUUAAAAAAAAAAAAAGUCUGAAUUUGAAAGGCCUGCAAGUACACUUUGGGGAUUUUGGAAAGUGUCGUUUGGCUGGGAUCUGGGAAGAGAGGCUGCCAUUCUGUCGAUGGGCAAGGAGGGAAGCCGCGUGGCCUGAUUCAUAACUUUGCAACUCCUGCAAAUACCAGCUGAUGAAUAUUUAUGUUAUCCCUGGCUUAGAACUGAAAGACAAACAGGGGGAAAAAAAAAACGAAAGUUGGGAAAGGUCGUCUGAAUUCUGGGGGAUUUUUUUUACCAACACUUUCCAUGCGUGAGCAGUAGCCCUGAAUGAAGUCAUUCUGUGCAGGGACCCUACCCAGGAAAACAGUCUGUUCAUUAGAGCCCUGUACUUUGUUUGAACCUUGUACAGUCAUGAGGUCCUGAAAGGGAAACCUUUUCCUUAAAUCUAACACACAGGAUAUAGAGCUACCUUAUUAUUAUUAUUAUUAUUUUGGUAACUAAUUGCAAAUUGCUCCUCAACAUAUAGCAACUUCAAUGGUUCAAAGAGAGAGCAAGUCAGUGAAGGAGAGCUUUUUAAAAACAUUAAAAGAAGAAGAAGAAGAAAAAAAAGAACAGUUCCAUACAAGGCUAC